Podarcis lilfordi (Lilford's wall lizard) is the source of this 3872-nucleotide non-coding RNA. The record is from the annotation of a GenBank genome assembly. NCBI's taxonomy places the organism in Eukaryota, Metazoa, Chordata, Lepidosauria, Squamata, Lacertidae.
CAAUUACAAGCAGAUGCAGAGACAGAUUAGCCAAUCGAAGAAGUGCUACUAUCUUCUUGAUUUGCCACUGCCAUGAACUGUUUUAGGAAUGCACACGAGCAAAUGUAAUGAGGAUUCCUAUAGGCCAUUAUCUCUUGAGAACGAAAAAUAAAACGCAGCGUUUCCUUCUGUGCAGUGAAGUUUAGAAGAGUUAAAAUAACGGAUUUAGCUUCCUUGGUAGCUGAAGAUUUUUGGACUGAAAAAUGCUUGCUCUCUCUGUGUGUGUGUGUGUGUGUGUGUGUGUGUGUGUGUGUGUGUUGCUUGCAAGCGAGUCACUGUUUCCUUGGCUACCACAACAAACAAGGCCACAAGCAGGUACUGGAGCCAGAAGAAAGAUAAAACUCUAAACUCUACUUGGCAAUUCCAAAGAGUGUGGAAAGAGCAACAGGAAGAAAAAUUAGAAAACAUCAAGGUAUUUGGUAUGGACACAUCUAGCUGAGACAUUUCUGUUUCUUUACCAUCUCCAAUGAGGAAACCAUGCCUAUUUCUUCAGGAGCUCAGGGACAGGUUGGAUUUGGAGUCGACACAUCCAUUCAAUGGCAUCCCAAAGGAGAUCAAACACUCUGUAUGCCACUAUCUUUCAAGGUUGACUCCUAUCGCCAGAGGUAAGCGGUCCGCUUGUUGUGCCUGGGAAAUAUUUCGCCCCAGACAAAAAUGGCACUUAAUUAAAAAGUGCUUUGAAAUGAGUGUCUUAAUGAAUAAGUUGCUGUCAUUUGUCACUUACGAAGCACCUAAAUAUUUAUAGGUGCUGUACGGAAAUUAAAGGACAGGACAGUCCCUGCCUGCAGGCACUCAAUCUAAAAGUCAAGGAGAGACUAGAGGAGACAAGAAUAGGGAGGGAAGAGGGAAGUAAACGAGUCCAGGCACUAAUUAUUGAAGUUACAUCAUCUCAGCAGUAUCAUCUGCCCUGGACGUGUGGCCCUCCCUCUCUUUUAAGCACACACACAAUCCAGCAGUUCUUACUAGUUACCUGACUGAUGGCUUCUCUUCAGUUUUGCAGUCUCAGAGCAACUGACAGCUGGAACCCAGUGUACAGUACUUUCUGGCAAGGAAGGGAGAAGGGCGUUCCUUGCAUCUGCUCCUUUUCUAGCCUACAGAUGGGGGCCGUGUUGGUCUCCAUAUUGCCACAAUGUUCUCCUUUGAGAGCUGGGGUGCUGUCUCUUGGUCCUCAAGUUGGGCAGAGCCUAUGAUGCCCUUCCCUUCAGUUCAGAGAGUGUUGCCACACCAAGUUACCACUAGAAUGUACAGAGCAAAACUAGGACAAUGAGGCAUUAAAUGACAUUGCAGCCUAAAUACAACAUCUAUGCUCCAUGUUCACGUUUUCUGCAGAUACUUACGCUGCCACCCUGAAGCCAAAAUCAGAUGUUUCACUCAGCACUCAGAAGUAAGUGGCACUCUUUGAGAAGAAAAAUGAUUGGUUUCACAUUUGCUUUGAAAACCUUUUAUUAUAAAUGUUAAGAAGUACAGUAAUGGAUGAGCAAUUCUUCAUACCCAAAUGUGCUGCAUUGCUUGCCCUCUGGUGGCAAGAAGGUGGAAAAUAUUAAGAGCAGGAAGUGGCCUGAAUACUGUAUGCUCUUUUUAAAAUGUACUGUACAUAAAUUGUUUCAGACUCUCUUUGCAUUCCACAGCCAUUUCACCUAUGUUUAUACUUUCUCUGUUUAAUAUUUCAUACACACAUCAGCCAACUAAGGAUAACACUUAAUAAAUCUGAUGAAGCAAAGUGAACACACACACACACACACACACACACACACACACACACACACAAAACGCAGGCCAGUUUCUGAUUUAAGAUUACUGCUCUUCCUACCCAUUGCUAGAUUGUUGCUAUCUAGUUAAUGCACUACAAAGUGGGGAUCCUCAGGCCCAGGAGCCAAAAGUGACCCUCAAGAUUAUCCCCGGGCCAUGCCCCAUUUCCCCAUACAGUGGUACCUCGGGUUACAUACACUUCAGGUUACAGACUCCGCUAACCCAGAAAUAUUACCUCGGGUUAAGAACUUUGCUUCAGGAUGAGAACAGAAAUCGUGCUCCGGCGGCACGACAGCAGCAGGAGGCCCCAUUAGCUAAAGUGGUGCUUCAGGUUAAGAACAGUUUCAGGUUAAGAACAUACAUCCAGAACGAAUUAAGUACUUAACCUACGGUACCACUGUAUCUUAAUACCUACUUUAAUACCCCAGUCACCCACUACUGUACUUGUUGACCUGAUUCUAUGUCCUCCUUGGGUGCUUUUACCUAGCUGGAAUGCGUCUUGUAUGUGCGUGUUCAUGCACAUAUGCGUAAAAACCUCUGGCUUUUGCAUGGCUAGAAUUUAUCUUGCUUCUCAGUUCUGUUGCCUCUGACCCCAGCCACCACUGGCAGAAGGUAACUCACAAGGGAAUGUGACCUACUGAGGUGAAAAACACUCCCCACCGUGUUUUAGCUCUGCCUUACAAUUCCUAUUCUUUGACCAUUUUAUCUUUUAUUUACUAUUUUAUUAUUACGUUGUACAUUACUUUUGGGAGACAAAAUGCCCCAUGGUGACCUCACUGAAGGCUGCAUCUCAAAGUUGAUGUGGCAAAAACUUUCUUUUUAUAGGACACAUUUUGGUGAGAUAAGGUGGUGACACAAAAACCUUUUGUCAUAGCACCUGCAGGAGCAGCCAGUAAUACAUAUUUAAAUCUGAAAAUGGGAGAAUGUGUGAAAUCUUGACUAGUCAGAGAAAGCACCUCUUGAAAUCACAGCAAGAAAUCUACAUAUUAUUUUUAAAAUUACAACAUUUUGGAGGGGCCCUUGGGGAAUCACAAAAAACUGUCCCCAUGGUAUUACAGCAGGGGACCUAUAGAAUCAGUCAAUAUCUUCAACCAACCAACCAACCUGAAAGAUCCUUUCAAAUUAGGAAAAAGGACUUGCAGGCCACAAAACACUCCAAGGGUGUCAGAUACGGCUCAUGUGCUGUGGCUUAGCCAUUACGUUUUAAAACACUGAUUUUCCUUAAGGAUUUUUCCAACGCAGGCACAAAGCCACAGCCUGCCUGUGGGAAACCACUUUCUCCAAAGCAGGGGUCUGCAAACUUUUCCAGCAGGGGGCUGGUCCACUGUCCCUCAGACCUUGUGGGAGGCCGGACUAUAUUUGGGGAAUGAACAAAUUCCUAUGCCCCACAAAUAACCCAGAGAUUCAUUUUAAAUAAAAGCACACAUUCUACUCAUGUAAAAACACCAGGCAGGCCCCACAAAUAACCCAGAGAUGCAUUUUAAAUAAAAGGACACAUUCUACUAAAGACACGCUGAUUCCUGGACUGUCUGCGGGCCGGAUUUAGAAGGCGUUUGGGCUGGAUCCGGCCCCCGGGCCUUAGUUUGCCUACCCAUGCUCCAAAGGAACUAUCAAAAGGAGCAUCAUUGAUAUAUUAAGAAAAAAACCUACAUUCACCCACUUACUCGAAGCAGUCUUCCAAUUGCUAGAGGAUGUUAAUGUCCAGCAAUGCAAAAAUUAUUGGUUGAUAAAUAUCAACAUGGUAACAUGCAUUUAUUUAAAUUUUAUGGAUCUGUUUAAGAGCAGAUCAGUGGACACGUUUAUUUUCAAGGAAGUCAUAACAAAUUAUGUAACUUCUUAACAGGUGAAGAGACAGUGCAAAAAAAAUCAUUCAGGAUAUGCAGCACUCCAAAGUGGAAACCAUUUAACCAUUCCAGCCACCAAAAGUACAUUGCUUACCAGUGCAAAAACUGAAGGCACAAGCCACAGAAGGAAAGAUGGCAUUUCCAGAUUCUCGCUUUGUACCCUACUAUAAUUAUGAGAAUGUGAUGAAAUAGAAACUGUAUUUGAUAUUGCCACAUUAAAAAUGGAGAUAAAAAAGAAGC